RNAcentral lists this ribosomal RNA (253 nucleotides) under uncultured bacterium. RNAcentral's name for it is "partial 16S ribosomal RNA". It matches the Rfam family "Bacterial small subunit ribosomal RNA", at positions 524 to 776 of the family's 1533-position model. The record is from RNAcentral.
UACGAAGGGGGCUAGCGUUGCUCGGAAUCACUGGGCGUAAAGCGCACGUAGGCGGCUUCUUAAGUCAGGGGUGAAAUCCUGGAGCUCAACUCCAGAACUGCCUUUGAUACUGAGAAGCUUGAGUCCGGGAGAGGGUAGUGGAAUUCCCGGUGUAGUGGUGAAAUGCGUAGAUAUCGGGAGGAACACCAGUGGCGAAGGCGACUACCUGGCCUGUCCUUGACGCUGAGGCGCGAAAGCUAGGGGAGCAAACGGG